Molecule: non-coding RNA, 76 nt
Organism: Desmophyllum pertusum
Lineage: Eukaryota; Metazoa; Cnidaria; Anthozoa; Scleractinia; Caryophylliidae
Source: the annotation of a GenBank genome assembly
GGCAGCGUGGCUGAGUGGUUUAGGGUGCUGGAUUUGAAAUCUGGAGGACCCAGGUUCAAAUCCUGCAUCCUAGCCU